Molecule: unclassified non-coding RNA, 345 nt
Filed under: soil metagenome
Description: partial contains 5.8S ribosomal RNA, internal transcribed spacer 2, and large subunit ribosomal RNA
Rfam family: 5.8S ribosomal RNA (bases 1-120)
Source: RNAcentral
GAUGAAGAACGUAGUGAAAUGCGAUACGUAACGUGAAUUGCAGAAUUCAGUGAAUCAUCGAGUCUUUGAACGCACAUUGCGCCCCCUGGUAUUCCGGGGGGCAUGCCUGUCCGAGCGUCAUUGCUGCCCUCAAGCACGGCUUGUGUGUUGGGCCUCCGUCCUCCUCCCGGGGGACGGGCCCGAAAGGCAGCGGCGGCACCGCGUCCGGUCCUCGAGCGUAUGGGGCUUCGUCACCCGCUCUUGUAGGCCCGGCCGGCGCUUGCCGACACAUCAAUCUUUUUUCCAGGUUGACCUCGGAUCAGGUAGGGAUACCCGCUGAACUUAAGCAUAUCAAUAAGCGGAGGA